GUUGUAUUCCCUCCGUCCGAAAAUACUUGUCAUCAAAAUGGAUAAAAAGAAUGUAUCUAGAACUAAUAUACAUCUAGAUACAUCCUUUUCUAUUCAUUUUGAUGACAAGUAUUUCCGGACGGAGGGAGUACUUU
Molecule: non-coding RNA, 134 nt
Organism: Triticum aestivum (bread wheat)
Lineage: Eukaryota; Viridiplantae; Streptophyta; Magnoliopsida; Poales; Poaceae
Source: Rfam